UUCUAUUUCCUUUUGAAUUUGUCUCGGUCUAACCUCAAAAGUGAUUACCCUCCUGAUCUCAUCGAUAACAAUUUGGUUACACCUUUGUAUGACUUCGACAAUUCGACCUAUCAUGCCGAAGGAGAAGGCGAAGAAGAUUGUGAUCUGUUGGAAUUAGCCGGGUCAUUGAAACCAGAGGAGAAGGUGAUUCAACCGCAUGAGGAGUGCUCAGAAUUGUUGCUCCAAGCACCGCC
RNAcentral lists this long non-coding RNA (233 nucleotides) under Lathyrus oleraceus (garden pea). RNAcentral describes it as "Pisum sativum (pea) long non-coding RNA (PSAT_LNC016053)". The record is from RNAcentral. Lineage: Eukaryota; Viridiplantae; Streptophyta; Magnoliopsida; Fabales; Fabaceae.